Long non-coding RNA from Helianthus annuus (common sunflower), 171 nucleotides. RefSeq lists it as uncharacterized. Lineage: Eukaryota; Viridiplantae; Streptophyta; Magnoliopsida; Asterales; Asteraceae. The transcript has 3 exons. The record is from RefSeq and is a predicted model, not a curated record.
AUAUUCGUUGGUCCUAUUGAAAGGGCUAGUCAAGAAACUCUAGAGGCUUUUUAUCGACAAGCACAGGAUUCGUACUAUAGUGGGAAACCCUUGAUCGUUGACGACAUGUUUGAUAGAGUAGAGUUACAGUUACGGUGGUAUGGAUCAACGUAUGUCGUCAGGUAUCCUCAU